Molecule: ribosomal RNA, 435 nt
Filed under: soil bacterium 3V-14
Lineage: Bacteria
Description: bacterial SSU rRNA
Rfam family: Bacterial small subunit ribosomal RNA
Source: RNAcentral
UCAGGACGAACGCUGGCGGCGUGCUUAACACAUGCAAGUCGAGCGGAAAGGCCCUUUCGGGGGUACUCGAGCGGCGAACGGGUGAGUAACACGUGAGUAAUCUGCCCCAGGCUCUGGGAUAGCCACCGGAAACGGUGAUUAAUACCGGAUAUGACGACUGGNCGCAUGGUUGGUUGUGGAAAGUUUUUUCGGCUUGGGAUGUGCUCGCGGCCUAUCAGCUUGUUGGUGGGGUAAUGGCCUACCAAGGCUUUGACGGGUAGCCGGCCUGAGAGGGUGACCGGCCACACUGGGACUGAGACACGGCCCAGACUCCUACGGGAGGCAGCAGUGGGGAAUAUUGGACAAUGGGCGGAAGCCUGAUCCAGCAACGCCGCGUGAGGGAUGACGGCCUUCGGGUUGUAAACCUCUUUCAGUGCAGACGAAGCGCAAGUGACG